RNAcentral lists this ribosomal RNA (130 nucleotides) under uncultured bacterium. Its description in RNAcentral is "partial 16S ribosomal RNA". It matches the Rfam family "Bacterial small subunit ribosomal RNA", at positions 226 to 353 of the family's 1533-position model. The record is from RNAcentral.
UGUGCCCAGAUGGGAUUAGCUAGUAGGUGGGGUAACGGCUCACCUAGGUGACGAUCCCUAGCUGGUCUGAGAGGAUGACCAGCCACACUGGAACUGAGACACGGUCCAGACUCCUACGGGAGGCAGCAUG